Molecule: long non-coding RNA, 1667 nt
Filed under: Homo sapiens (human)
Lineage: Eukaryota; Metazoa; Chordata; Mammalia; Primates; Hominidae
Description: HSALNT0356414
Source: RNAcentral
CGUGGUAAUGCUGGCAUAAUAAUUCCCGGUUGCCAUUUUCUGACAUUUGAAAAGAUCUGAAGAUACGCCCCUUGGAUGCCUGCAGAGAAGCUCUGGGGCUUCAGUCAAUGACUCAGGGUAGCCACCGAACAUGAUGCUCGGGCAGUGGGUGCCACCUGGACUCCACUCUCCCCUCUCUCUGGGAUCAUAGAGUCCAAGGUGUUCUGUGGCCUCUCGGCCAAUCCCAGCAGCUCAGCGUGCAGAAGACCGAGGAGCCAUUGGAAUUCAACACAACACGAAAUAAUCAACAAAUUCGGGGAAUGUUAAUCUGACCAUCACCAGUUACAAAUGAUGUUUCAUGCUACCUUCUAUUCCUGCCUUCAUAAAUCAAGCUCUAAAUCUCCAGGAAAAAAUGUGCUCAGGAUGGCCAGAGAAAUGUCCUUCCAACUGUGCAUGGAAAGGUAUGAUUUUGUGCAGCAGGUGAAGGACUGGUUAGAGUAAGUGUGUGCUGAGCUUUUGUGUUUGAAAGCGAGCCUGUGCACUUCUAACGAUUGGAAGGUUUCCUUGCCUUCUCCGAUCUUACACACAGCAAGGACAGCAAAGCCUUCCAGACCUGCCUGUGACAUGCACUGCACAUUCUAAAGAUGCCUAUGCAAUGGAAAACACCACUGUCUGCUCCAGCACAGCUGCCAUUCUUCCAUCUUAUCGACCUUAAUGCAACAACUCCUCACAGGCAGAGAUUUUAAAAUGUGUUCUUGGCAGAAGAGAGACUCAAAGAUGGGACAAAUGUGUCAUUUAAAUGCCUGUUAAAAUGGAAACAGACAUAGUAUAGUCAGAGGAUUGUGGCAGCUAAGAACAUAGUCUCUGGAGCAAAUCUGCAUGGGUGGCAAUGCCAAGCACAUGAGGUCCUAGUUGUAUGAACUUAGGAAAAGAAAAAGAGAACAUAUAUCCCCCUACCUUUUGAUUUCCAACAGUCUACUGAGAGGCCAAGAUUAUUUGCAGGGAAAGAAAAGGGGAAUGCCAUCCCCACCCUCUCGCAGCUACGUGCCAGUUCCAGAGCACCUGUUCCCCUCUACUUUGAAAAGGUCAAAAUGUUUUGCCAGUAACUCCCAAAUCAUCUACAGCCAAGGAGAAAAGUGUUUCAAGACAGAGGUGCUCAAUGGUAUCAAAUACUGCCAACAGACCAAGUAAUACAUGCAUUGAAGUGUCUACUGGAUCUAGCUAUAUGAAUUUUUAAUUUAGGACACUUAGGCCAUACUGAAGCAAGGUGACAAAAUGAAUAGCUACAAUGUCUCGUGAAUCUUGGGUUUCCAUUCACCCUGGUAUUCAAGAGAAAUUCUUGCAUCAUGGAAGUUGCAGUUGGAUAGGACUUUCUCAGCUGAACACUGUCAUCUGCCAGAGCUUCAGGCAAGAACCCAGAACAGAUGAAACCCCAGACAUGACAAAAUAAGCCAAAGAAUACCAGGCCAAGGUGUGAAAGGCCAGAUGAGAACAAGCAGCGUACACGAUUCUGUUGCCAACAGAUCUCCCCUAACAGUGUCGUGCACCAAAUUUCCACAGUGAAUGUCAGGAAAAAAUGGCAAUUGAGGUGGGUGGUCAAAAGAGAAGCACAGUCUAUGAUGAAGUCACCCCAGAGAAGUCCUUUUUCCGUUUUCUCCUGAGAAAUUACCAGAAGAAAUUAAAAUCCU